CAGAUAUCAGUGCCAUUCCAUGGG
Molecule: non-coding RNA, 24 nt
Filed under: Arabidopsis thaliana (thale cress)
Lineage: Eukaryota; Viridiplantae; Streptophyta; Magnoliopsida; Brassicales; Brassicaceae
Source: RNAcentral